UACAGAGGUCCCGAGCGUUGUUCGGAUUCAUUGGGCGUAAAGGGUGCGUAGGCGGCGGGGUAAGUCUGAUGUGAAAUCCCGGGGCUCAACCCCGGAACUGCAUUGGAUACUGCCUUGCUAGAGUACUGGAAAGGGAACUGGAAUUUACGGUGUAGCGGUGAAAUGCGCAGAUAUCGGGAAGAACACCCGUGGCGAAGGCGGUUCUCUGGGACGGUACUGACGCUGAGACGCGAAAGCGUGGGGAGCGAACAGG
Molecule: ribosomal RNA, 253 nt
Filed under: uncultured bacterium
Lineage: Bacteria
Description: partial 16S ribosomal RNA
Rfam family: Bacterial small subunit ribosomal RNA
Source: RNAcentral